GUAGGUGAACCUGCGGAAGGAUCAUUACCAAAUCCAAAAAAAAACUUUAUCAACACCCAAUGUGAACUGAGAGUGGUUUCGUUCCCUCCAAAAGGGCAGAAAAAAUUUAUAUAUAUAUAUAUAUUUUUUGCCGGGCGGAGGGAAUGCUUUUUUUUUUCAACCCCUUUACAACUAUACAACCAUUUCUUUUAUGCUGAAAGCAAAACAAAAAACGAAACAUGAGACAACUUUUAACGGUGGAUCUCUUGGCUCGU
RNAcentral lists this unclassified non-coding RNA (254 nucleotides) under rhizosphere metagenome. Its description in RNAcentral is "partial ribosomal RNA internal transcribed spacer region". The record is from RNAcentral.